CCGGCUAAAAGUCGGAGGAAGGUGGGGAUGACGUCAAAUCAUCAUGCCCCUUAUGGACCUGGGCUACACACGUGCUACAAUGGGCGGUACAAAGGGUCGCGAACCCGCGAGGGGGAGCCAAUCCCAAAAAGCCGCUCUCAGUUCGGAUUGCAGGCUGCAACUCGCCUGCAUGAAGCCGGAAUCGCUAGUAAUCGCGGAUCAGCAUGCCGCGGUGAAUACGUUCCCGGGCCUU
This 232-nucleotide ribosomal RNA is filed under the name uncultured Anoxybacillus sp. RNAcentral describes it as "partial 16S ribosomal RNA". It matches the Rfam family "Bacterial small subunit ribosomal RNA", at positions 1152 to 1382 of the family's 1533-position model. Lineage: Bacteria; Bacillati; Bacillota; Bacilli; Caryophanales; Anoxybacillaceae. The record is from RNAcentral.